Molecule: long non-coding RNA, 729 nt
Organism: Meriones unguiculatus (Mongolian gerbil)
Lineage: Eukaryota; Metazoa; Chordata; Mammalia; Rodentia; Muridae
Exons: 2
Source: RefSeq, a predicted model, not a curated record
CCCUUGGUUAAAUAAGCAACAGAAAUGAGGAAUUUUGGAAACAAGGCAUGAACCACAGGCAUCAUAUUAUACAUGCCACCUUCUACUUGUUGAAGACACCAGGACUUCUGCCCUGAACCUUGAAGAGUUGUGCUUUCUUCAGUGAACUACCCAGAAAGCAUAGCAAAAGGCACCAGAGAGCCUCUGUUCACUUCUCCAAGGAAAGGCAUGAAAGGAGGACAUACAGACCUGAAAAUGGUAUAAUUCCCAGUUACCCACCGGGAUCUCACAAAAACAAGCAUAGCUGCCAAUGUGUUGGGAAGGGAGAAAGGGGGCAUUCUGGGCUGACAGAAAUGGUUGGGACAGGGAGCUGGGAAGACCACAGGCCUGCUUUGUUGGAGCUGUGGGGCCAGCAGUAAUAGGACAUGAGGUUUUUGCAGAGUCUCUUUGGAGCAUCACCCAGGACAUGACUUUCCAUCUAGAAGGUCAGCUGGAGUCCUCAGUGGUGUUCAGUCAGCAGCACCCCACACAGCUGGCACCUACCCCUCCCUUCUCAGUACUCCUUCUCAGCAUCUAAGACCAGACCCUCAAAGUCAUGGGCUGAAGGAAACCAUUUGGAAGUUCCAUCCAUCCUUCUCCAGCCAGAGUGGCUCAGGCAACUCACGGGUGUUAAGCCCUAAAGUCAUUUGUUAUGUCCUGAAGCAUAAAUGGCAAAAAAAAAAAAAAAAAAAAAAAACCUCUCCUAAUCCA